RNAcentral lists this ribosomal RNA (468 nucleotides) under uncultured bacterium. RNAcentral describes it as "partial 16S ribosomal RNA". It matches the Rfam family "Bacterial small subunit ribosomal RNA", at positions 28 to 507 of the family's 1533-position model. The record is from RNAcentral.
GACGAACGCUGGCGGCGUGCUUAACACAUGCAAGUCGAACGGAAAGGCCCUGCUUUUGUGGGGUGCUCGAGUGGCGAACGGGUGAGUAACACGUGAGUAACCUGCCCUUUACUUUGGGAUAACUUCAGGAAACUGGGGCUAAUACCUGAUAGGAGCUCCUGCUGCAUGGUGGGGUUUGGAAAGUUUCGGCGGUUGGGGAUGUACUCGCGGCUUAUCAGCUUGUUGGUGGGGUAGUGGCUUACCAAGGCUUUGACGGGUAGCCGGCCUGAGAGGGUGAACGGCCACAUGGGGACUGAGAUACGGCCCAGACUCCUACGGGAGGCAGCAGGGGGGAAUAUUGCACAAUGGGCGGAAGCCUGAUGAAGCAACGCCGCGUGCGGGAUGACGGCCUUCGGGUUGUAAACCGCUUUCGCCUGUGACGAAGCGUGAGUGACGGUAAUGGGUAAAGAAGCACCGGCUAACUACGUG